GCCACAGCAGCCUUGCGCACGUGAAACCAGUCGAAUGGUGGAGGAAGAAACAUGAGUUCCUGAAGGGCUGCAUUAUUGGCAGACGUUCUUUCUUUACGCACUUUUGUGUGUAUGUGUGUGUAUGUGUGUUCGGUGCACGCGUGUAUUUAUACGUUCGUCUGAUACGUCACGUUAUUUUGUUCCGUUUACACACUCGCUUCUAUAGAAAAUGAUGCAGCAACUUUCUUUUUUUUUCUUAUAUUUUUUUGUGAGUAAUAAAUGAAUCGUAUUACGACGGCUAACGAACCAAUAAUUGCCACAUCAAUUUUUGUUCUUGCCGUUAUUAUUAUCUUUUCUCUCUUUUUUUUUUUUAAUAAACUCUUCAAAUUUUUAAUAACACAAUUUCCAAUACCACUUCGUUGUUUCUCGAUAAAAUGGCAUCACGAUAUUCUCGUUUCUAUCGACUAAAGCUCUUCCGAAUUACUAUUAUUCGUUUCAUUUAUACUAAACAUCGUUCGCCGACUGAGUCGAGUUUUUUAUACGAUCCGAGUUCCUCGAGUGCACACACGUUGAACGUGAGCCAGCAAAUAGAGUAAACCAGGCGUUCUCUAGACGAUAAUCGACUGACUGACUGACUGACUGUUUUUUUACAAGCUUGUCGAUCUUUCUUGAUCGAACGGUAUCCCUUGAAGAAGACGAUGAUGCACUGUUCUCCGACGUCCAGACCACUCUUGGGAGAACUCUUUACUUUCGUCCACACCAACCAAGAGAAAACUACCCAGCUUGUACCCUCUCCUUUCACGUAUCUCGUUUUUAUUAAACUAAUUUUAUACCGAAGAAAAAUUCAUACACGUUAAAUUUUAGUAAUUAUAUUAUUUCGCAAUUAUGAAAAUCAAUAGGAAUUGAUACAUUGAAAAAUUCUUCCAAUAAGUUUUCAAUUUCAUAAAUUGAUUUUGUCGAACGAAAAAUAUAAAUGUCUAUUUUAUCUCGUCCGAUUAUCUUGCUUUUAAAAAAGCAUCAUAAAUUAUAUAUAUAUGUAUACGUCUAUUUAUGUUAAAUAUGUACUUGAUGGAUAGAAAAACACAAUAAAAGCACAAAGAAAUAAUGUAAUCCUUUCCGAAAGGAGAAUUCGUGGUCGGUGCAGUCAAUACGAUUUGAUUCACUCGCGGUAGAAGUCGCGGAUGCUGUAAGCUCGCGCCCGAGGAAAGAGGCCCUAUAUAUGGGCCUCGGCACGAACACAUCGAUAAGUAUAUUGAGGGUGGGGAGGGGGAAAGAGGAGUUAGUAGCCGGUCUGUACGUGUCUGCGUUUUUACGAAUAAAUGUGUGCGUGCGUGUCUUCUGUCGACGACGUUAAAAAACGACUUUCGAAAUAACGAGAAUGUGAAAAUCAACGUGAGAUUACAUCAGCAUUAGAAAGAUUAGAAAAACAUAGGAUAUCUCAAAGCUAUGCAGCGAAGAUUCAGAAGAGAAAGAUGAACUCAGAAAGUUGUCGACAUGUACAGAAGAAAAGGGGAACGGUCGUCUCGUUCGUUCGUUCGUUCGUUCGUUCGGCAACAGUCCAUCAGUUUUAAUCAAAGGCGUAAUACGGGACAAGAUUCUUUAGGAGGCCAGAAACCCAGCAUGCUCUUUCCAAGCGUACCUCCAUUAACGAACCUCGAACCUUGCGUGUGCACAAUAUAUAUAUAUAACAUACGAGUGUAUAUGAAGUGUGCUUAUCUACAUGUAUAAUACAUACACGAACAAAUCCGAUUUUCAUAUGAAUAUGUACGUGCAUAUAUAUACGUGUCAAAUGCAUCUUUAACAUAUAUCUACAAAUAGAAAUAUUCGUGCAUUUCUAGUGCGUAAAACUCCUAUUAUGAAAAUUCUUUAUUUCCGUAAUUUAUAUAAAACACUCGCACGAAACUCAUCGUAACACAUCCGUGAAAGCAUGUUGUAUUAUUAACGUUUGGAAAUUUGAACAAUUAGUUAAGGAGUUCGAAUAAUUAAGUUCGAAAUGGUUUUAAAGUAUACUCGAAUGGUACAUAGGGUGGGUCAAAAGUUUUUAGGCAGAAUCAAAAGUUUCUAUGGAGCAUUGGUAGUUUUACAAUUUGAAAAGGAAAAGAAAAAAAGACAAAGAAAGAGAGAAAGAAACGUUCGUAUUAAAAAGGUCUCAAAAAAAUGAAUAAUUGAUAUUUAUUUAUCGCUCAUAUUAGAAGAGAAAGAAAAUUGAAUCAUUCAAUCGCUUUACCUUGAAUGGUCUUUCGUUUCGUUCAUAGGAAAAUAGGAUUGCUUCGAUGAAUCGAACGAAUACGAGAAUACGUUUCAUUCAUGGAAGAUGUUAUAAUCGUUUUAGUGUUCAACGACGCGAUGUCAUUACGUAUACUAAAUGGAUUAUUCGUCGCUCGCUCUUUCUCUCUCUCUCUCUCUCUAUAUAUAUAUAUAUACAUAUAUAUAUAUAUAUAUAUAUAUAUAUAUAUACACAUACAUAUUUAUUGUAACCCGCAAGGCAACAGCACUUUUAAAGAGACUACGUCGCUUUGUCGUUAUCGAUUUGACUUUUUUAUGAGUAUUAAAAUGGCUGUUAUUUAUUUAUUCGGGAUCAUUAUUUUUAAACAUUCGAUUAGCAUUUUAAAUAAAUGAUCAAUAAUUUAAAUAAAAUAAUAGCACGUAAUCCGACUCUAUAAUACCUACACUUAAUUGUUUAUCACUGAUCAGAAUAUUCAUCUGUUACUGAUUAUACAUUUUACAAA
Long non-coding RNA from Vespa mandarinia (Asian giant hornet), 2708 nucleotides. Lineage: Eukaryota; Metazoa; Arthropoda; Insecta; Hymenoptera; Vespidae. The record is from RefSeq and is a predicted model, not a curated record.